AUGUUUGUGCCGCAAGGAGAUGCCCUGGUCCUUGAACCCUUACGAAGAUCAAAGUCUUGUCAUGGUGACGGGUUCUGCGAUGCACCAUCUUUUGACCUCGGCAUAGAUGGUGAUGCUCCAGCACCUGCUCCAGCAGCAGAAAUAGCGGAAGCCGGUGUGAUUUGCAUUGAUGAGUGUGAGUUGGACCUAGCAGCUGUGAAUGAAGGAUGUGCUGCUACUAAUGCUGGCAAGGCAAUAGCUCAAGAGCUAGAUGUUGGUUCACCAGAGAAUUGCCACACCCCGAUAUGCGCAAAAUCAGAAGAUGGCACGAGCAGUUCUUCGGGACCACAUAUUGCACGAAGACAGAGGAGGGUAAUAAGGCCCGCAACAUCUCAAAGGUCUCCAUUCAUUGACUACAACAAGAAGAAGACUUUCAGCUCCAAUGAGGCAAUGAACAAGCUUUACGCUGCCCUCUUGUAUUGGGUCAGGCAUCACAAAGGAGCAAAUGAUGAAGCUACCAGCCUUGAGAUAAUCAGGUAUGGUGCUUUCUACAUUUCUUUAAAGGAGUUAGUUGAUUCGAUGAAGCCGGUUCAAUGGUUAUAA
RNAcentral lists this ribosomal RNA (582 nucleotides) under Triticum aestivum (bread wheat). RNAcentral's name for it is "partial small subunit ribosomal RNA". The record is from RNAcentral. Lineage: Eukaryota; Viridiplantae; Streptophyta; Magnoliopsida; Poales; Poaceae.